This 82-nucleotide non-coding RNA is filed under the name [Clostridium] cellulosi. RNAcentral's name for it is "Clostridium cellulosi ZTP sequence". It matches the Rfam family "ZMP/ZTP riboswitch aptamer (pfl RNA motif)". Rfam says of the family: Previously known as pfl RNA. Lineage: Bacteria; Bacillati; Bacillota; Clostridia; Eubacteriales; Oscillospiraceae. The record is from Rfam by way of RNAcentral.
UAGAAACCGUAUGACUGACGGAAGUGGAAUUUACCACAUGGAGUACGGUUUUAUAGAUUUGCCGACCGUCUGGGCGUAAAGA